Molecule: ribosomal RNA, 468 nt
Filed under: uncultured bacterium
Lineage: Bacteria
Description: partial 16S ribosomal RNA
Rfam family: Bacterial small subunit ribosomal RNA
Source: RNAcentral
GCCGCCCUCUUUCUUCGUGCUUAACACAUGCAAGUCGAACGGAAAGGCCCUGCUUUUGUGGGGUGCUCGAGUGGCGAACGGGUGAGUAACACGUGAGUAACCUGCCCUUGACUUUGGGAUAACUUCAGGAAACUGGGGCUAAUACCGGAUAGGAGCUCCUGCUGCAUGGUGGGGGUUGGAAAGUUUCGGCGGUUGGGGAUGGACUCGCGGCUUAUCAGCUUGUUGGUGGGGUAGUGGCUUACCAAGGCUUUGACGGGUAGCCGGCCUGAGAGGGUGACCGGCCACAUUGGGACUGAGAUACGGCCCAGACUCCUACGGGAGGCAGCAGUGGGGAAUAUUGCACAAUGGGCGGAAGCCUGAUGCAGCAACGCCGCGUGCGGGAUGACGGCCUUCGGGUUGUAAACCGCUUUCGCCUGUGACGAAGCGUGAGUGACGGUAAUGGGUAAAGAAGCACCGGCUAACUACGUG